Long non-coding RNA from Amazona collaria (yellow-billed parrot), 2051 nucleotides. The record is from Ensembl. NCBI's taxonomy places the organism in Eukaryota, Metazoa, Chordata, Aves, Psittaciformes, Psittacidae.
GACAGUAGCAGCAGCAGGGUGCUGCCGGGCGGGCGGUGUCUCCCAGGCGGCCUUGCCCGGAUGUGCUACCCUGACUCAUAGUCGCGCCGCACGCAGGCUCCGCGCUGCUGCCGUGCUCUCCCGUCCCGCUUCGCGCACACGCCUCCCGCGCCUCCCUCCGCGCCAGCGGGGAGGCGGUGGCUGCAGCAGCGGCAGGAGGGGAAGGAGGAGGAGGCCGCGGCGGCACCAUGGAUAAUCUAAGUGAUGCCCUGAAAAAGCUGAAGAUAACAACCACUGACAGCACAGCAGAUAGCUUGGAGGGAUGCUUGGACUGUCUGCUUCAAGCUCUGGCACAAAACAAUAUGGAGACAAGUGAAAAAAUCCAGAAAAGUGGAGUUCUUCAGGUGUUCGGGAGUCUGUUGACGCCACAAUCUUCCUGCACAGCAAAAGUAGCUAACAUCAUAGCAGAAGUAGCCAGAAAUGAAUUUAUGCGAAACCCAUGUGUGGAUGCCGGGUUGAUCCCUCCUUUGGUGCAGCUGUUAAACUGCAAAGACCAGGAAGUAUUGCUUCAAACAGGACGUGCCCUGGGCAAUAUAUGCUACGAUAGCCAUGAGGGCAGGAACGCAGUUGACCAUGCAGGUGGUGCACAUAUUGUAGUAGACCAUAUAAGGUCACUGUGCAGUAAAACAGAUCCAACCAGUGAGAAGCUCUUGACUGUCUUUUGUGGCAUGCUGAUGAACUAUAGCAAUGAGAAUGAUACCCUGCAGUCACAGCUUAUCAAUAUGGGUGUUAUUCCUACAUUAGUGAAAUUGUUGGGUAUUCAUUGCCAAAAUGCAGCUCUGACAGAGAUGUGCCUUGUUGCAUUUGGCAAUUUAGCAGAACUUGAGUCAAGUAAAGAGCAGUUUGCCUACACAAACAUUGCUGAAGAGCUUGUUAAACUGUUCAAGAAGCAAAUAGAGCAUGAUAAAAGAGAGAUGAUUUUUGAAGUUUUGGCUCCCCUGGCAGAAAAUGAUGUCAUUAAACUGCAGCUGGUUGAAGCUGGCUUGGUGGAGUGCCUACUUGAGAUUGUCCAGAAGACUGUGGACAGUGACAAAGAAGAUGAUGUUGCAGAGCUUAAAACAGCUUCUGAUCUUAUGGUUUUAUUAUUGCUUGGAGAUGAAUCCAUGCAAAAGUUAUUUGAAGGAGGAAAAGGCAGCGUAUUCCAAAGAGUACUUUCGUGGAUUCCUUCCAACAGCCAUCAGCUACAGCUUGCAGGAGCAUUGGCUAUUGCAAAUUUUGCCAGAAAUGAUGGAAACUGCAUCCAUAUGGUGGAUAAUGGCAUAGUUCAAAAGCUGAUGGAUCUGCUAGACAGACAUGUGGAGGACGGAAAUGUAACUGUGCAGCAUGCUGCACUGAGUGCUCUCAGAAACCUGGCUAUUCCUGUUGUAAAUAAGGCUAAGAUGCUAUCAGCUGGUGUUGCAGAAGCUGUAUUGAAAUUUCUCAGAUCGGAGAUGCCCCCUGUUCAGUUCAAGCUGCUGGGAACAUUAAGAAUGUUAAUAGAUGCACAAGCAGAAGCCGCUGAACAGCUGGGCAAAAAUAUCAAACUGGUGGAACGGUUGGUGGAAUGGUGUGAAGCCAAGGAUCACGCAGGUGUGAUGGGGGAAUCCAACAGACUACUUUCCGCACUUAUACGACACAGCAAAUCUAAAGAUGUAAUUAGGACCAUUGUACAGAGUGGAGGCAUAAAGCAUCUAGUAACCAUGGCAACCAGUGAACAUGUAAUAAUGCAAAACGAAGCUCUUGUUGCACUGGCAUUAAUAGCGGCUUUAGAGUUAGUCACUGCUGAAAAGGAUCUCGAAAACGCUCAGCUUGUUCAGAUUCUACACAGACUGCUCUCAGACGACAGGAGUGCUCCAGAAAUAAAAUACAACUCCAUGGUGUUGAUCUGUGCCCUUAUAGGAUCUGAGCCUCUUCAAAAGGAAGUGCAGAGCAUGGCGUUUCUAGAAGUCAUAUCAAAACUCCGCAGCCAUGAGAACAAAACUGUUGCCCAGCAGGCCUCACUAACAGAGCAGAGACUUGCUGUAGAAAGCUGA